Carya illinoinensis is the source of this 3357-nucleotide long non-coding RNA. RefSeq lists it as uncharacterized. Lineage: Eukaryota; Viridiplantae; Streptophyta; Magnoliopsida; Fagales; Juglandaceae. The transcript has 2 exons. The record is from RefSeq and is a predicted model, not a curated record.
AAUUAGGGUUCAACAAUCUGUAAUCUUUAGCCCAAUAUUCUUCUUGGGAUUGGUGGUGGAAAAAUUAAAACAUUAAAAAUAAAAAAUAAAAAAGGACUUCCAAAUCUCCUUAUAUAAGCCCCUCCCUCCCCAUCCCUUAAUGCUACACCUUUCUCCCUCUCUGCGCCCGAUCUGCACUUCUCUUCCAGCUCUAAUUUUCUCUCCCUUUUCUCCCUCCGAUCUUGAUUUCCUUCCUAGGGUUUUGUUUCUUAUUUUUAUUGGAUUGAAGCUUCCGAGCAUCUUAUGAUCUACUCGAUCGCAUGGGGUACGCCUAAUAUUGAUGACCCUCAUCGUAUCCUUCCACAGCUUUCUUGAACUGCAUCGAUCUAUGAGCGGCUCGCUAGCUCUUUGCAUGCAGAGAUACCAUCUUUGAUCUCUUCUUUGCGGUUCAAUAAAGCUGUGGGAUGAUACAGACAGGGUCAAGAAAGUCCAAGAUCUUGGCUUCGGUAUUGUUACUGAUAUGUUAAUGCUUCUUUUGUGAUCAUCAAGAAGUACCUGUAAUGCAUUGAAAUAUGUCUGCGAUCUUAGCUAGCUCUUUAAAUGAUGUGUGGCGGAUGCUUUGUUUAUACUUAAUUGUAUAUAUACUUUUUGCACAGUACUCAUAUUGGAGGAAGUAUUAUGGAAGUAUAGAUCCCUCAGAACCCUUAUGCCCGAGAUGUCUUUGUUUUAGGAUACUAAACUCAUCUUAUUUUCCAUAGAAAAAGACGAAUCAUGAAAGACAGAAACCCAAUUCGAAUUACACUCACACAUGUGGAUCCGAUCCAGUUGCAGAAUAUAUAUCACUAUUAUUUGAACUCACUCGAUCGAUCGAUUUAUUACUUGGCGUGACUUUAUGGGUUUGGCAUUUUCGUUGGAGCUUUAUUUUAUGGUGUUGAACUUGCAUAAUAUUACUGCUCGUGCAGAAGUAUGCAAUAAUCCUUACAUCUCUCUCUCUCUCUCACUGGUAUGUGUUUGUGUGGAAAUAUCAUCUCUAAGUAGCUUUUCCCAAUGUGGGUUUUUAUACAGAUAUAACAAUUCUUUAUCUCUUUGUGUUAAUUCUUCUUUUCUUCUGUUGUUAAUAUGAUCAAUGUUGUUUUGGGUUUCUCUAUAAUUGAUUGGGCUCCUUCACUUUAUAGCUAGUGUUCCUACGUAUAAGUUAAAUUGCAGGAAAAAAAAAAUACCACUUGUAGAUGAAACAUGAGGCGGCAUGCACUUGGCAUUUCUGAAUUAAAUGCUAUAGAUUGAUCAACAUGGUAACUACUGAUCAGUCGUUAUACAUCAAAUGCAACCAAAAAGUAAUGUUCAGUCUUUUAAUUCAUUCUUACCUAAAUUCAACUACACAUUACCUGUUUAAAAAAAAAAAAAAACUUUCAAGAUCGAAUUCUUUGUUUCUUAACAUUAAUAUAUAAAUCGUACAAUUUUUUGUUUAAAAAAAAAAAACUUUCAAGAUCGAAUUCUUUGUUUCUUAACAUUAAUAUAUAAAUCGUACAAUUUUUUAUUUUCCUUUUGAUCAGUAACUUUCGGUGUAGUACUUUAACCAAAUUAGGGUUCUUUUCAAUAUAUAUUUGUAAUGGUCAUCCCGGACUGUAUAUAUAUUAUGUUCAAGUUGAUCUUCUAAGUACAGUACUUAUAAGAAGUACAAUAAGAGAAUUUUUCUAUCACUAGCUAGCUAGCUAUAUAUAUACCUAUAAGUUAGAAGGAAUAAAUCAUUUUGGUCCCACUAAAAUGAGACUAAACUCUAUCGUUAGGUGAAGCUUAAUUUUAUGAAGAAUUGUAGAGGCUGCUUUUAUGAAAAAUGCAGAAGCAUGCAGCUUGUUGAAGGAAAAUAGGGUUUCCUCUUCUACAAUUAGGUAAAGUCAUCAUGAACUAUAUUGAAGGAAAAGGCCGUCCACUUGCACGAAACAUAUAUAUAGUUGUUUGGGUUUGUUAAGGCUAGCUAGCUGGUCAUCAGAUCGAUGUUCCUAGAUGAUCAUGAGAUAUAUGUCUGAAUUUUCAUGCUCUUGGAAAUUAAUAGAGAUCAGCUGAAAAAGGUUUUUAUGGUAUAAAACUAGUACUGGCCUGAAGAUAUUACUGCAGGUCCCAACUUCUCGCCAGGAGCCUGAAGAUAUUACUACUAUUCUUGAGCCCUAGAAAAUGAUGAUCAGAUCAUGUUAUGCGAGACAUUGACAUCCGACCAAUUAAAGCUAGCUGCAGCGUGCACAAGUGUUUAUUGUCAAAUAACUGGCGUCUGUCUUUCAUGAUGCUCUGGAGAUAUAUAUAUAUAUAUAUAUAUACACAUAGCUAGGUGGUUCAGGCCGGUAUAUAUAAUACAGAUGGCGCACUCACGAGAAAUUGAAUACAUCCAAUUAAUAAGCCAGCGAUGGAGAGUACUUUUAACCCUUCUAGCUUUUAAAAGAUAUCGCUCGGAUCUGAUCACAAUAUAUAACGUACCCAACCACUUUAAUUAUAGGAUUCAUGUCUUGGUGUCGGCCGCUAGCCAAUCAAAUACGCAAUAUUUCUGCUAAUCGCUUUUUCCUUCAUUUGCUAGCUGUUGUUUUAUGGAUAAUAUUCUUAAUAUUUUAAUUAUAAUCAAUCAACUCAUGUCUGAGCACGAAGUGCUCCUUUUUUCUCUACUUUUUUUUUUUUGGUCUUCUGGAUUUAUUUGUUUUUAGAAGCUCGAUCGACUUGAUGAAUUAUUGCUGCUAAUUAUUAAUUAAUGACUUUCUUUUAUAUAUAUAUAUAUAAAGGCCAUCACGCCUGGCAUGGUGGUAGUUUUCACUAACGUACCAUACUAUUGAAGGCAUUUAUUAAAGAUCGAAGAAAUUAAAUAUGGGAUGAUCAUGAUCAAGUACUAGUGAUCAUGAUCAUCUUCGACAAAUCAAAGUGGGUUGGUUGCUUGUCACUGAUCAUCAUGAUGAUCUAGCUAGAUCAAAAAGAAGGGAUUUAUGGCUCAUCUUUUCCACCUUGUCUCUCUUUAAUUUAUUUAGUCUUUCCGUGGAGGAAUUAAUGCAUGAUAUGAUCUAAUUAACCCUGAUCAUGAUGCUCGUGGUCGAUCGUUCCAGCUGCAUAUAUGCAGAAGCAAGUGCAUGCAUGGGUGAUUUGCGUUUCACAAUGAAUGCAUAUUAUAUGCUAGUACGGUGCAAGCUGCAUGCACGCCUAGAUCGAUGAUGAUGAUCAGUCUAGUACUUCGUAUAUAUCAUGCCGGCCGGCCGACUACUGCAUGUACGAAGACGUUAUUGCUAAGUGGACAAUGACUCAUAUUUUAGUGUUUCCAAAUUGUCUCAUGCAUCUUUUUCCCUAUCUUUUGUAAAGUAAUUAAAUUAAUAAAUUAAACAGCCUUUUAGAGUACUACUCCAAAAA